RNAcentral lists this ribosomal RNA (468 nucleotides) under uncultured bacterium. RNAcentral describes it as "partial 16S ribosomal RNA". It matches the Rfam family "Bacterial small subunit ribosomal RNA", at positions 28 to 507 of the family's 1533-position model. The record is from RNAcentral.
GACGAACGCUGGCUGCGUGCUUAACACAUGCAAGUCGAACGGAAAGGCCCUGCUUUUGUGGGGUGCUCGAGUGUCGAACGUGUAAGUAACACGUGAGUAACCUGCCCUUGACUUUGGUAUAACUUCAGGAAACUGGGGCUAAUACCGGGUAGGAGCUCCUGCUGCAUUGUGUGGGUUGGAUAGUUUCGGCGGUUGGGGAUGGACUCGCGGCUUAUCAGCUUGUUGGUGGGGUAGUGGCUUACCAAGGCUUUGACGGGUAGCCGGCCUGAGAGGGUGACCGGCCACAUUGGGACUGAGAUACGGCCCAGACUCCUACGGGAGGCAGCAGUGGGGAAUAUUGCACAAUGGGCGGAAGCCUGAUGCAGCAACGCCGCGUGCGGGAUGACGGCCUUCGGGUUGUAAACCGCUUUCGCCUGUGACGAAGCGUGAGUGACGGUAAUGGGUAAAGAAGCACCGGCUAACUACGUG